RNAcentral lists this transfer RNA (73 nucleotides) under Stegodyphus mimosarum. It matches the Rfam family "tRNA". Rfam says of the family: Transfer RNA (tRNA) molecules are approximately 80 nucleotides in length. The record is from Rfam by way of RNAcentral. Lineage: Eukaryota; Metazoa; Arthropoda; Arachnida; Araneae; Eresidae.
GCCUUCAUGGUGUAGUGGUCAGCACACUCGGCGCGUAACCGAAAGGUCUGUGGUUCGAUUCCCAGCGAAGGAG